This 498-nucleotide ribosomal RNA is filed under the name uncultured bacterium. Its description in RNAcentral is "partial 16S ribosomal RNA". It matches the Rfam family "Bacterial small subunit ribosomal RNA", at positions 355 to 861 of the family's 1533-position model. The record is from RNAcentral.
UGGGGAAUAUUGCACAAUGGGCGAAAGCCUGAUGCAGCGACGCCGCGUGCGGGAUGACGGCCUUCGGGUUGUAAACCGCUUUCGGCAGGGAAGAAGCCGCAAGGUGACGGUACCUGCAGAAGAAGCGCCGGCUAACUACGUGCCAGCAGCCGCGGUAAUACGUAGGGCGCAAGCGUUGUCCGGAAUUAUUGGGCGUAAAGAGCUCGUAGGCGGUUCGUCGCGUCUGCUGUGAAAUCCUCAGGCUCAACCUGGGGCGUGCAGUGGGUACGGGCGGACUAGAGUGCGGUAGGGGUGACUGGAAUUCCUGGUGUAGCGGUGGAAUGCGCAGAUAUCAGGAGGAACACCGAUGGCGAAGGCAGGUCACUGGGCCGCAACUGACGCUGAGGAGCGAAAGCAUGGGGAGCGAACAGGAUUAGAUACCCUGGUAGUCCAUGCCGUAAACGUUGGGCACUAGGUGUGGGUCCAUUCCACGGAUUCCGUGCCGCAGCAAAGCGCAUU